Molecule: ribosomal RNA, 252 nt
Filed under: uncultured bacterium
Lineage: Bacteria
Description: partial 16S ribosomal RNA
Rfam family: Bacterial small subunit ribosomal RNA
Source: RNAcentral
ACGGAGGGUGCAAGCGUUAUCCGGAAUUACUGGGUUUAAAGGGUGCGUAGGUGGCGCUGUAAGUCAGUGGUGAAAGGUUCCGGCUUAACCGGAGAAUGGCCUUUGAUACUGCAGUGCUAGGAUUGGGUUGAGGUUGGCGGAAUGUGACAUGUAGCGGUGAAAUGCAUAGAUAUGUCAUAGAACACCGAUUGCGAAGGCAGCUGACUGGACCUUGAUUGACACUGAGGCACGAAAGCGUGGGGAGCGAACAGG